This 3068-nucleotide small RNA is filed under the name Pongo abelii (Sumatran orangutan). Its description in RNAcentral is "retained intron". Lineage: Eukaryota; Metazoa; Chordata; Mammalia; Primates; Hominidae. The record is from RNAcentral.
CGUGUCUACCUCUGCCUUCUGUGGACACCAUGCGCCUUGGUCCUUGUGUCAUGGUGUAUUUACACUGCCGUACUCACCCAUAACUGCGUGCUCCUUACAAAACCCCAUCCAAGCCAGAGCCGUCUCGAUGCCAGCCCCCUCUCCUCCCUUCAGGCCUGUGCAGAGGGAAUUUUUCAUGGUGCCUUUUUUGAUGAUUUUUUUCUCCAUCUAACUGAAGUCCUUUGGCAUGGGCCAAGCUUUCUUCAUGGUGGCUUGGUUUGGAACUGUUUCCUUGCUUUGCUGGGAUCCCCUGGUGGAAAGGGGUGGGGGGUAAAGGUGCUGAUGAUUUGUCACAGGAGGAAAAAGACCUUCCUUUCCUUGAUUUGCAGCUCUAAUCCUCAUCCUCAGCCCCAUCCCUAUCUGCCAUGGUGGGUCGGGGAGAGCCCUGAGGAGCCCUUUGGCUCCCAAGUCCAUCUUGAUGUUCACUCUUCCCCUCACUCCUGAGAGGCCUUCUGCCAUCUUGGUCCCCAGACCCGGCCUUGCCACUCAAUGUCCCUACCACUCGAGACCCUGGCUCCAAAAUGCCACUCAUCCCACAGCAAAUCAUGUUGGUCGUGCUCCGUUGUGUACCCAUCUAGUGAAGGCACAAUGUUGCUGAGUUGCAUGACUCUCAUCUCAUUCUCUUCUGGGACAUACUGACAUUUUGCAAACAUGCAUGCUUUGCAAGGAAAGCUGCAGAACUCAUUUUCAUACCGUAACCUGAUGCCGUGUCACCCGUGACCUGUUCGAUCGGAGAGAAUAGACUGUCGCUUGCUGUCUUUCGUUUCAGGUAAAUCCAUUUCGGAUGGCCACUCGUGGCAUGUUCCCGACAGCCCUUCCUGUCCCGAGCAUCACUACAAGCAAAUGGAAGGUGACAGGAAUGUUCCACCUGUUCCCCCUGCGUCCAGCACCCCUUAUAAACCACCCUAUGGAAAGCUACUAUUACCUCCAGGCACGGAUGGUGGCAAAGAAGGCCCACGAGUCCUGAAUGGCAGCCCACAGCAGGAAGACGGGGGACUGGCCGGUAUCACAGAGCAGCAGUCAGGUGCCUUUGACAGAUGGGAGCUGAUUCAAGCACAAGAGCUUCACAAUAAGCUCAAAAUAAAACAAAAUUUGCAACAGCUGAACUCUGAUAUCAGCGCCAUCACUACUUGGCUGAAAAAAACUGAAGCAGAGCUGGAAAUGUUAAAGAUGGCAAAGCCUCCCUCUGAUAUCCAGGAAAUAGAAGUGAGAGUGAAGAGACUGCAGGAGAUACUGAAAGCCUUUGACACUUACAAGGCAUUAGUGGUCUCUGUCAAUGUGAGCAGCAAGGAAUUUCUGCAAACCGAGAGCCCCGAAUCCACAGAGCUCCAAAGUAGACUCCGCCAGCUGAGCCUGCUCUGGGAAGCAGCACGGAGCGCAGUGGACAGCUGGAGAGGGGGCUUACGACAGUCGCUCAUGCAGUGCCAGGGCUCUAAGACACGGCCGCGCUCUGAUGUGUGUUGUUUUUUAAGGACUUCCACCAGUUGAGUCAAAAUCUGCUGCUGUGGUUAGCGAGUGCCGAGAACCGGAGGCAGAAGGCUCAUGUCACCGAUCCGAAGGUAGACCCCCAGGCUCUCCUGGAGUGUCGGAGGGAACUAAUGCAACUGGAAGAGGAGCUGGUAGAACGUCAACCUCAAGUGGACAUGUUACAGGAGAUUUCAAACAGCCUUCUCAUUAAGGGACAUGGAGAAGACUAUAUUGAAGCUGAAGAAAAGGUGCAUGUUAUUGAGAAGAAACUCAAACAGUUACAGGAGCAAGUGUCCCAAGAUUUAAUGGCCUUGCAGGGAACCCAGAACCCAGCCCCACCCCUGCCCAGCUUCGACGAGGUAGACUCAGGGGACCAGCCUCCUGCAACAUCUGUGCCAGCUCCCCAAGCAAAGUUCAGAGCAGUGAGAACUGCAGAAGGCGAGGAGGAGACAGAGAGCAGGGUCCCUGGCAGCACAAGGCCACAGCGCUCCUUCCUCUCAAGAGUGAUCCGGGCAGCCCUGCCCCUGCAGCUGCUCCUCCUGCUGCUGCUGCUCCUGGCCUGCCUGCUGCCCUCCUCCGAAGACGACUACAGCUGCACUCAGGCCAACAACUUUGCCCGGUCAUUUUACCCCAUGCUGAGGUACACCAACGGGCCACCCCCCACGUAGAGGGCAUAGCUGGCCGCAAUGCCACCCCACCUGCCUGAUUGCCAAGGGUGCCCAGCACGAGGCCCCAGACCAAUCUGAGUGACUUAGUGUUGGCAAGGUCCCGGGACCUGUGCAGACUUCUUCUGGGCUUACCCAGCACGGGCUCCCUGGAGCCCAGGGCAGCUUUCAAAUUGUGUUCCUCCCCAGGAGCAGGGAACCUGUGCGGCAGGUGCCCCGGGUAUUUUGGCAGAACUAGUUGAUUCGUUUAGGGAUCUCUGGAAAUGUCAGUUUCCUGAAGAGCCAAGCACUUUGUGAAUUCUGGUUUAUUUGUAAAACAGCAUUAUUAUAAUGUAGGUAUGGUCAAUGAGCAGUGGUGUCCAUCACAUAUAUUAUAGAAGCAAGCGAGCACAUUCCACCCUAGAAAUGGUUCAGAAACUUAUAGGCACCCUUAGCUGAUGGAAACAAUCAUAUUUAAUACGCUUAGAAUCAGUUUUACUCCAGUCAGCUGGCAAUUUUGAGCUACCGGUUAUACACCAAAAUGUUCUGUUCAGUACCUAGCUCUGCUCUUUUAUAUUGCUUUAAAUUUUUAAAGAAAUUAUAUUGCAUGGAUGUGGUUAUUUGUGCAUAUUUUUUAACAAUGCCCAAUCUGUAUGAAUAAUGUAAACUUCGAUUUUUUUAAAAAAAAUUAGAUUUUAGCUGGAGUUUUUGACUAAUGUACAGUAAAUGCCAAACUACCGACUUGAUAGGGAUGUUUUUCUAAGUUAAUUUUCUAAGACUUUUUCACACCCAAAGUGAUGCUUUGGGUUUUAACUGUUUGGCCAUGGCGGGGGUGGGGGCGGGGGGUUGGUACAGAAACUUGAAGCUGUUUGUGAUAUGUACAACUCAGAUAUUUCUCAUUAAAAAACAAAAUUAGCC